AUCGCAAUACGUGCCAUUUUCCUUUAAUAAUUCUUGCUGGGAGGACGUGCGCGUUGUAACAUUUCAGGCAUUCCGCCAUAUUUGAGAAAAAAUUAAAUGAGUCACAAUAGUGGUGGACGACCUCCUCCAAGAAUUGACGGCAUGAUUUCUUUAAAAGUUGAUAAUUUGACUUACCGCACUACACCGGAAGAUUUGCGACGUGUUUUUGAACGUUGCGGUGAGGUUGGCGAUAUAUACAUACCACGCGAUCGUUAUACCCGUGAAAGUCGGGGCUUCGCAUUUGUAAGAUUCUAUGAUAAACGUGACGCCGAAGAUGCAUUGGAAGCCAUGGACGGACGCAAAUUAGAUGGUAGGGAGUUGCGUGUUCAGAUGGCUCGUUAUGGACGCCCCACUUCGCCUAAUAAUAACCGGCGUAAUAAUCGUCGUGGUGGUGGUGGUGGCGGACGUCGUCGUUCCCGUUCACCUAUACGGCGACGUUCGCGGAGCCCUAGACGCCGCUCAUAUUCACGCUCGCGUUCUCGUUCGCGCUCGCCAGUCAGACGCAAUAAAUUUUCGCGCAGCCCGGUACGACGUUCGGUUAGUCGUAGUCAAAGUCGUAAUGGUUUGGGUGGAGGGGGUGGUGGUCUACCUGUUGGCGGGCGUAGCGUGUCGCGUAGUCGCAGUCGUUCUUAGACGAUCCAGUGAAAAGAAAGCAGCUCAUGUGUGGGAAAGCGAAACGUUCAAGCAAUCAACCUACACAAACUUGCUGCUGGAUUGGUUCCGUUGCUGGUUAAUUCAGCAGGCGGUGGUGUAUAAAGCGGUUUGAUUGAAAGAUGGCUGUUUAAGCAGAAAAACACACAGAGACAGGAAAUAAAAUAAAAAAUAUGUUCAGAAAAAUAAUUAAGAGGGAGAAAAAUGACAAAAGAAAACAAAAAAAAAAAAAAAAAAAGAAAGAAAGAAAGAAAGAAUGAGUUGGAGCAACAAUACUGCUGUGUUCAACUUGUACAUUGCGUAUGUACCGAGUAUAGAAGUUGCUGCUGUCUCGAGUUUGUAGCUGUAAUCUUUUGAUACUUUUGUCUGCUGUUGUUGGUGAUGCUUGCUGACUGACUGUGUUCAUUUUCUCAAUUAAUGCAAAUAAGAAUAAGAAAAUUCUCCAUGUAGCGGUUUUUUUUUGCUGCGCCUCGACUGCUGCACUAGCUUCAAUAUAAUAUUUUUAUAUUGCCUUUUUUGCAAAAAUUUUGAAUGAGAGCAGAAUUUUCUCAACUUCACUGGUUUUUAAAGAGCGAACGGAAGUAGCCAGCAACUAGUUUUCAUCUACAGCAGGCAGCAGCAUUUUACAAAAAAACAAAACUGAAAUUUUCAUAAAUUCGUGCGUUCACCGUACAAACAACAAAACAGGUUCGCGAUUUUGGUGUUAAUUGUGGGCGUUGGUGUAGAAAGAGAGAGAGAGAGAGAGGAAAAAUGUAUGUUUGCUGAAUAGCAGGUUUCCUGAGAGUGUUUUUUGAUACUCGACCAGUCUCAAUUUCUCUUCUUUGCUGUGUGUGUUCGUGUAUAUUUGUAGCGGUUCGUUCUCGUACGAUUUCUUUUGUUUCUGAAAUAAAUCUAGCACAGGUGGUUUUCGAGUUAAACUAUUUAAUACAGCAGUUUGUAAUCAACGAUUCAAACUUCAGAACUCUUCAAGCAUAUUUAAGAGAAUCAAGAAGGUAAUCGACCUUUAAUUAAAACACCUUACGAGAAUGUUUGGUUCGCACAAGUAAGUAAUAUCCUUUCAAUACUAAUCCAUUUUUUAACCAUUUCAGGGUUGAAUUUAUUUCAAUCAAUAAUCAAAGAAAUGCACUUUUAAAAAUAAAGAAAUAAAAAUAUUUGGAAAACUUGCA
Molecule: RNA transcript, 1856 nt
Organism: Glossina fuscipes
Lineage: Eukaryota; Metazoa; Arthropoda; Insecta; Diptera; Glossinidae
Gene: SC35
Gene name: serine/arginine-rich splicing factor 2
Exons: 6
Source: RefSeq, a predicted model, not a curated record